UGGGGAAUAUUGGACAAUGGGCGAAAGCCUGAUCCAGCCAUGCCGCGUGUGUAAAGAAGGUCUUCGGAUUGUAAAGCACUUUAAGUUGGGAGGAAGGGCAGUAAGCGAAUACCUUGCUGUUUUGACGUUACCGACAGAAUAAGCACCGGCUAACUCUGUGCCAGCAGCCGCGGUAAUACAGAGGGUGCAAGCGUUAAUCGGAAUUACUGGGCGUAAAGCGCGCGUAGGUGGUUCGUUAAGUUGAAUGUGAAAGCCCCGGGCUCAACCUGGGAACUGCAUCCAAAACUGGCGAGCUAGAGUAGGGCAGAGGGUGGUGGGAUUUCCUGUGUAGCGGUGAAAUGCGUAGAUAUAGGAAGGAACACCAGUGGCGAAGGCGACCACCUGGGCUCAUACUGACACUGAGGUGCGAAAGCGUGGGGAGCAAACAGG
This 429-nucleotide ribosomal RNA is filed under the name Pseudomonadota bacterium. RNAcentral's name for it is "Proteobacteria bacterium partial 16S ribosomal RNA". It matches the Rfam family "Bacterial small subunit ribosomal RNA", at positions 355 to 776 of the family's 1533-position model. The record is from RNAcentral. Lineage: Bacteria; Pseudomonadati; Pseudomonadota.